This 103-nucleotide ribosomal RNA is filed under the name Pteropus alecto (black flying fox). The record is from RNAcentral. Lineage: Eukaryota; Metazoa; Chordata; Mammalia; Chiroptera; Pteropodidae.
GUCUACAGCCAUGCCACCCUGAAUAAGCCCGAUGUCUGAUCUCGGAAGCUAAGCAAGGUCGGGUCUAGUUAGUACUUGGAUGGGAGACCAGGUGCUGUAGGCA